AUUUGCAUUAAUUUCCAGACCAUAAAUCUGAGCUAAAGUCAGAGGGGUUGUUGGAUUUCUCUUCUUAUUACUCCACAAAUCAGACAAUAUAGAUCAAGUGCAAUAAAAUAUACACUUUAAAGUGUAUUCGGGAUGCUUUCUUUCCACUAGUCUGAAGCAAAAUAGAUUAAAAUUUCAUUGUACAGGAGCAAAGUGACUUUUGUUACUGUUGUGCAAUAAACAGUUCUGGUACUGCAACUAAAACAUUUAUUUUCAAAAAUGCAUGAUGAUAAUUAUUUAAAAAACACAUUUAA
Long non-coding RNA from Carassius carassius (crucian carp), 293 nucleotides. RefSeq lists it as uncharacterized. NCBI's taxonomy places the organism in Eukaryota, Metazoa, Chordata, Actinopteri, Cypriniformes, Cyprinidae. The record is from RefSeq and is a predicted model, not a curated record. The transcript has 2 exons.